RNAcentral lists this ribosomal RNA (253 nucleotides) under uncultured bacterium. Its description in RNAcentral is "partial 16S ribosomal RNA". It matches the Rfam family "Bacterial small subunit ribosomal RNA", at positions 524 to 776 of the family's 1533-position model. The record is from RNAcentral.
UACGGAGGGUGCGAGCGUUAUCCGGAUUUACUGGGUUUAAAGGGUGUGUAGGCGGAUAUUUAAGUCAGUGGUGAAAUCUCGGGGCUCAACCCCGAAACUGCCAUUGAUACUAUUUAUCUUGAAUACUGUGGAGGUGAGCGGAAUGUGUCAUGUAGCGGUGAAAUGCAUAGAGAUGACACAGAACACCGAUUGCGAAGGCAGCUCACUACGCAGUGAUUGACGCUGAGGCACGAAAGCGUGGGGAUCAAACAGG